UUGCUUGCUUUUGUUUACCGGCGUUGCUAUGGUUACCGGUCUUGUAAGGAAGUGCGCCAAUUCUCGGAGUGCCAAUAGGCUACUUGCACAAGCACUUCCUGAUUCGCCGUAAUGCAGCUCAUCAGCUUCCGGUUCCAAGAUGGCAACGUUCUACACCCGGUGUUUACAGGAGCUUUCGACAAUAAAUAUCACAGAUGUGCAUCGUUUAUGUCGGGAAACAAAAACUCCGACAAGCAAAUUGGAGAAGGGGUUUAGGCUGUAUGCUUCGAACUACAUUCACAGCUACGAAGCCUCAGUCACCUCCCUUUUACCUGUAUUGUGACUUGUGCCACUACGCAACGGUUUCUCUACCGGAUGGCGUCGUAACUAAUCCCUGGCACUCAGCUGACAGGUUUGUUUAGUUUCCUCUUUGGGUGCAGUUCAAUAACUGCACCAACUUCCUGUAAGACAACCUGAUGUGUGUGGAUAUCCAAUGCCCUAAUGUGUUCUCUGUGCUCUCUUUUUAGAGUAGUGUUCUUGUCCGGGCUGUAUCUUUGGGAGGCGCGGUUUGGUGGUUUGCCGUGUACUUGCAUGUAGAUAAGUAGGGUGUUACCUGCUCAAUUCAUACAUUUUUACAAUUGUUUAUUAAUGGUAUUUUGUUCUAGGACUAGCAUUGGUGGAUUUGGAGACGGUCACAUUCUGGCGCUGGCGCUUCAGUGCUCCUAUUUUCAUCUCAUAGAAUAAUAACAUGACUUUUUUCAACCAUUUAAAAAUAAACUUUUGUAGACUUGAACUGGAAACACGUCUCUGUAAGUCUUUACACAAAUCUGUAUUAUAAAUGUUGUUUGUUUUUGUACUAUUGGCGUGGUCACAUUCAUAUAUAUAAAUUCUGAUAAGACAUGGACAUCCUUAACUCCAAUUACACCAUCUCUCAACAUGCCACUACUUGUGUCCUAUUGAUCAUUCACAGACCUAUUAAGAAAUAAUUUGGUGCAGUACUAUAAAUUAAUCUGUAACGUAAAGCUAUUUUCUAACCAACAAUGUCCCUGACUGACACAUAUCCCCGUCACGUAGGGACUAGGCUAAUAACAGACUAAUACAAAAAAUGUGACUGUGAAAAAGUGACUUCCCUUGUGUAAAUUCGGAUGUCUGCGUCGGAGCCAGCAAACCGCUGCAGUCCAAACUCUCGCUGGAGACGUAACUCCUGUAGCUCCUUUCUCAGCUCCUGUACUUCAUUUGAGACGCUUUCAGCAGCGGAUGCGGACAUAUCCAUGGCAGUCGGUUCAGAGAGAGCAGUAGUCUUGAUCGUUGAAUAGGAGAUCAACUUCAUCUUCCGGAGGGUCAGUUUCGACGAACCGAUCAACUCUCUCCCACACGCCGCGCCUUGGGGUUUCGACUGUAUACUGGUUCCACUCAAAAAGGGUCGCUACGGCACCUUUUGCAGGUCUCCUUCGACCCUGAGGAGUAGUUGGCUCAAUCAACUUGUCGGGACUAAAGUGUCUGCUACAGACCUUGGAGUGAGUGGUGAUGACAUAUGCAUCCCGGCGUAUGUUCACAAUCCAUCGACUCCUCACGUCAGUUUGGCUCGGAAAGCCAUGAAAACGUAAUACCUCGUUGAAUUUUGCUGACGCUGUACAGUGGGGGACACUGCAGUGCUCUGCGUAGGUUGUCUCCUGCCUCUGAAAAGGUCCAGUUUUUAGAUGUUUGCGGUCUUGAUCCAUGUUUACAGUAUCAAAGCCAGCAGGCUAGCGCGAUAAACAC
This is a long non-coding RNA of Gadus morhua (Atlantic cod), 1740 nucleotides long. NCBI's taxonomy places the organism in Eukaryota, Metazoa, Chordata, Actinopteri, Gadiformes, Gadidae. The record is from Ensembl.